AACGAACGCUGGCGGCGCGCCUAAUACAUGCAAGUCGAGCGAGAAGACGUAGCAAUACGUUUGUAAAGCGGCGAACGGGUGAGGAAUACAUGGGUAACCUACCCUCGAGUGGGGAAUAACUAGCCGAAAGGUUAGCUAAUACCGCGUACGCUCCUUGGACUUCGGUUCAGGGAGGAAAGCGAUACCGUGGGUAUCGCGCUCUUGGAUGGGCUCAUGUCCUAUCAGCUUGUUGGUGAGGUAACGGCUCACCAAGGCUUCGACGGGUAGCUGGUCUGAGAGGACAAUCAGCCACACUGGCACUGCGACACGGGCCAGACUCCUACGGGAGGCAGCAGUAAGGAAUAUUGCGCAAAUGGGCGAAAGCCUGACGCAGCGACGCCGCGUGGGGGAUGAAGGUCUUCGGAUUGUAAACCCCUUUCGGGA
This 423-nucleotide ribosomal RNA is filed under the name uncultured bacterium. RNAcentral describes it as "bacterial SSU rRNA". It matches the Rfam family "Bacterial small subunit ribosomal RNA", at positions 29 to 441 of the family's 1533-position model. The record is from RNAcentral.